RNAcentral lists this transfer RNA (69 nucleotides) under Ictidomys tridecemlineatus (thirteen-lined ground squirrel). Its description in RNAcentral is "Spermophilus tridecemlineatus (thirteen-lined ground squirrel) tRNA". It matches the Rfam family "tRNA". From Rfam's summary of the family: Transfer RNA (tRNA) molecules are approximately 80 nucleotides in length. The record is from Rfam by way of RNAcentral. Lineage: Eukaryota; Metazoa; Chordata; Mammalia; Rodentia; Sciuridae.
GGGGUACUGGCUCAGUGGUAGAGCACUUGCCUAGCAUGUGGGAGGCCCUGGGUUCGAUCCUCAGCACCA